RNAcentral lists this transfer RNA (73 nucleotides) under Sphaerodactylus townsendi. Its description in RNAcentral is "tRNA-Gly". The record is from RNAcentral. Lineage: Eukaryota; Metazoa; Chordata; Lepidosauria; Squamata; Sphaerodactylidae.
GCCCCACCUGGCUCACUAGGAGAACAUCUACUUUCCAUGCAGAAUGCCCCAGGUUCAAUCCCUGGCAUCUCCA